AGAGUUUGAUCCUGGCUCAGGAUGAACGCUGGCGGCGUGCUUAACACAUGCAAGUCGAACGAAGCAAUCUAACGGAAGUUUUCGGAUGGAAGCUGGAUUGACUGAGUGGCGGACGGGUGAGUAACGCGUGGGUAACCUGCCUCACACUGGGGGACAACAGUUAGAAAUGACUGCUAAUACCGCAUAAGCGCACAGGACCGCAUGGUCCGGUGUGAAAAACUCCGGUGGUGUGAGAUGGACCCGCGUUUGAUUAGCUAGUUGGUGGGGUAACGGCCUACCAAGGCGACGAUCAAUAGCCGACCUGAGAGGGUGACCGGCCACAUUGGGACUGAGACACGGCCCAAACUCCUACGGGAGGCAGCAGUGGGGAAUAUUGCACAAUGGGGGAAACCCUGAUGCAGCGACGCCGCGUGAGUGAAGAAGUAUUUCGGUAUGUAAAGCUCUAUCAGCAGGGAAGAAAA
This 461-nucleotide ribosomal RNA is filed under the name uncultured bacterium. RNAcentral describes it as "bacterial SSU rRNA". It matches the Rfam family "Bacterial small subunit ribosomal RNA", at positions 8 to 451 of the family's 1533-position model. The record is from RNAcentral.